Molecule: ribosomal RNA, 332 nt
Filed under: uncultured bacterium
Lineage: Bacteria
Description: bacterial SSU rRNA
Rfam family: Bacterial small subunit ribosomal RNA
Source: RNAcentral
GACGAACGCUGGCGGCGUGCCUAACACAUGCAAGUCGAACGGAGAUACGCGCUGAAUGACGAAGCUUGCUUUUGAAUUCUUGUGUAUCUUAGUGGCGGACGGGUGAGUAACGCGUGAGCAACCUGCCUUUCAGAGGGGGAUAACGUUUGGAAACGAACGCUAAUACCGCAUGAGACUACAGUACUACAUGGUACAGUGGCCAAAGGAGCAAUCCGCUGAAAGAUGGGCUCGCGUCCGAUUAGAUAGUUGGCGGGGUAACGGCCCACCAAGUCGACGAUCGGUAGCCGGACUGAGAGGUUGAACGGCCACAUUGGGACUGAGACACGGCCCAG